GCUAUCUACAGGCUUAACACAUGCAAGUCGAGGGGCAGCAUGGUCUUAGCUUGCUAAGGCCGAUGGCGACCGGCGCACGGGUGAGUAACACGUAUCCAACCUGCCGUCUACUCUUGGACAGCCUUCUGAAAGGAAGAUUAAUACAAGAUGGCAUCAUGAGUCCGCAUGUUCACAUGAUUAAAGGUAUUCCGGUAGACGAUGGGGAUGCGUUCCAUUAGAUAGUAGGCGGGGUAACGGCCCACCUAGUCUUCGAUGGAUAGGGGUUCUGAGAGGAAGGUCCCCCACAUUGGAACUGAGACACGGUCCAAACUCCUACGGGAGGCAGCAGUGAGGAAUAUUGGUCAAUGGGCGAGAGCCUGAACCAGCCAAGUAGCGUGAAGGAUGACUGCCCUAUGGGUUGUAAACUUCUUUUAUAAAGGAAUAAAGUCGGGUAUGCAUACCCGUUUGCAUGUACUUUAUGAAUAAGGAUCGGCUAACUCCGUGCCAGCAGCCGCGGUAAUACGGAGGAUCCGAGCGUUAUCCGGAUUUAUUGGGUUUAAAGGGAGCGUAGAUGGAUGUUUAAGUCAGUUGUGAAAGUUUGCGGCUCAACCGUAAAAUUGCAGUUGAUACUGGAUAUCUUGAGUGCAGUUGAGGCAGGCGGAAUUCGUGGUGUAGCGGUGAAAUGCUUAGAUAUCACGAAGAACUCCGAUUGCGAAGGCAGCCUGCUAAGCUGCAACUGACAUUGAGGCUCGAAAGUGUGGGUAUCAAACAGGAUUAGAUACCCUGGUAGUCCACACGGUAAACGAUGAAUACUCGCUGUUUGCGAUAUACAGCAAGCGGCCAAGCGAAAGCGUUAAGUAUUCCACCUGGGGAGUACGCCGGCAACGGUGAAACUCAAAGGAAUUGACGGGGGCCCGCACAAGCGGAGGAACAUGUGGUUUAAUUCGAUGAUACGCGAGGAACCUUACCCGGGCUUAAAUUGCAGAUGAAUUACGGUGAAAGCCGUAAGCCGCAAGGCAUCUGUGAAGGUGCUGCAUGGUUGUCGUCAGCUCGUGCCGUGAGGUGUCGGCUUAAGUGCCAUAACGAGCGCAACCCUUGUUGUCAGUUACUAACAGGUUCCGCUGAGGACUCUGACAAGACUGCCAUCGUAAGAUGUGAGGAAGGUGGGGAUGACGUCAAAUCAGCACGGCCCUUACGUCCGGGGCUACACACGUGUUACAAUGGGGGGGUACAGAGGGCCGCUACCACGCGAGUGGAUGCCAAUCCCAAAAACCUCUCUCAGUUCGGACUGGAGUCUGCAACCCGACUCCACGAAGCUGGAUUCGCUAGUAAUCGCGCAUCAGCCACGGCGCGGUGAAUACGUUCCCGGGCCUUGUACACACCGCCCGUCAAGCCAUGGGAGCCGGGGGUACCUGAAGUGCGUAACCGCGAGGAGCGCCCUAGGGUAAAACUGGUGACUGGGGCU
Molecule: ribosomal RNA, 1444 nt
Filed under: uncultured organism
Description: SSU rRNA
Rfam family: Bacterial small subunit ribosomal RNA
Source: RNAcentral